CCGGCACGGGUGAGUAACACGUAUCCAACCUGCCGUCUACUCUUGGACAGCCUUCUGAAAGGAAGAUUAAUACAAGAUGGCAUCAUGAGUCCGCAUGUUCACAUGAUUAAAGGUAUUCCGGUAGACGAUGGGGAUGCGUUCCAUUAGAUAGUAGGCGGGGUAACGGCCCACCUAGUCUUCGAUGGAUAGGGGGUCUGAGAGGAAGGUCCCCCACAUUGGAACUGAGACACGGUCCAA
Molecule: ribosomal RNA, 237 nt
Filed under: uncultured bacterium
Lineage: Bacteria
Description: partial 16S ribosomal RNA
Rfam family: Bacterial small subunit ribosomal RNA
Source: RNAcentral